CUCUAGGCUUGCAUUUACACACAAGCUCAAGCAACCUACCCGAACUCUCGGCGGGCCACCGAUUGAGUUCCUAUUUGGUCUUGCUACGAGUGGAGUUUACCUAGCUGCCAAAUGUUACCACUGGCACGGUGCGCUCUUACCGCACCCUUUCACCCUUACCAGCCAAAGCUGGCGGUCUGCUCUCUGUUGCACUAGUCGUAGGCUCGCGCCCCCCGGACGUUAUCCGGCACUCUGCCA
This 237-nucleotide unclassified non-coding RNA is filed under the name Pasteurellaceae bacterium I32. RNAcentral's name for it is "partial RNaseP". The record is from RNAcentral. Lineage: Bacteria; Pseudomonadati; Pseudomonadota; Gammaproteobacteria; Pasteurellales; Pasteurellaceae.